ACACACAGAAGAGCCAAGCAGCUGACUCACACACCAUGCCGCAGUUGCCUUGACUUUGUUCACGUAGGCUCAGCAGCUUGAGACUGCAGCCCCAGAAUCGGCAGUGUCCUCAGUUGGCACCCAGAGGAGCUGUUGCAUUCUCCCCUUUAUUGUGGAGAUGGCUGCAGCAGGUGCUCUUGUCCUGGGGGAAGACAGCCAUUGAGAUUGGCAGAGGCUUAAGUAUGAAGUCAAAGGCAACACCUGAUAUCAGAAAGGGCCCAGGCAGCAGUGGGGAAGUCCUCAGCUGGAUCUUUGAGCCUUGGACGGAAUCAGCAGCAGGCUCAUAGGUUGAAGGAACUCAUUUCCAGAUGAGACUUUGGACUUUGGAGUUAAUGCUGAAAUGAGUUAAGACUUUGGGGGACUAUUGAGAAGAGAGGACUAUAUUUUGCAAUGUGAAAAGGACAUGACAUUUGAGGGACCAAGGUGGAAUGACGUGCCCCUGCCAAAUCUCAUGUUGAAUUGUAAUCCUCAGUGUUGGAAUUGGGGUCUGGGGGGGGAUGUUUGAGUCAUGGGGGUGGAUCUCUCAUGGUUUGGUGCUGUCUUUGCAUUAUCAAGUGAGUUCUCACAAGAUCUGGUUGUUAGCCUGACCAACAUGGUGAAACCCUAUCUCAACUAAAAAUACAAAAAUUAGCGGGGCAUGGUGGCAUGCGCCUAUAAUCCCAGCUACUCAGGAGGCUGAGGCAGGAGAAUCGCUUGAACCAGGGAGGCAGAGGUUGCAGUGAGCCAAGAUCACGCCAUUGCACUCCAGCUUGGGUGACAGAGCGAAACUCCGUCUCAAAAAAAAAAAAAAAGUGUAUAGCACCUUCCCUUCACUCUCUCUCUUGCUCCCAGUCCUGCCAUAUGAGAUGCCUGUUCCCUCUUUGCCUUCUUCCAUGAUUGUAAGCUUCCUAAGGCCUCCCCAAAAGCAGAUGCCAGCACUAUGCUUCCUGUACAGCCUGAAGAACUGUGAACCAAUUAAACCUCUUUUCUUUAUAAAUU
This 1017-nucleotide long non-coding RNA is filed under the name Homo sapiens (human). RNAcentral describes it as "HSALNT0286292". The record is from RNAcentral. Lineage: Eukaryota; Metazoa; Chordata; Mammalia; Primates; Hominidae.